RNAcentral lists this ribosomal RNA (484 nucleotides) under uncultured bacterium. RNAcentral's name for it is "partial 16S ribosomal RNA". It matches the Rfam family "Bacterial small subunit ribosomal RNA", at positions 30 to 507 of the family's 1533-position model. The record is from RNAcentral.
AUUGAACGCUGGCGGCAGGCCUAACACAUGCAAGUCGAGCGGAUGGAGGGAGCUUGCUCCUGGAUUCAGCGGCGGACGGGUGAGUAAUGCCUAGGAAUCUGCCUGGUAGUGGGGGAUAACGUCCGGAAACGGGCGCUAAUACCGCCUACGUCCUGAGGGAGAAAGUGGGGGAUCUUCGGACCUCACGCUCUCAGAUGAGCCUAGGUCGGAUUAGCUAGUUGGUGGGGUAAAGGCCUACCAAGGCGACGAUCCGUAACUGGUCUGAGAGGAUGAUCAGUCACACUGGAACUGAGACACGGUCCAGACUCCUACGGGAGGCAGCAGUGGGGAAUAUUGGACAAAGGGCGAAAGCCUGAUCCAGCCAUGCCGCGUGUGUGAAGAAGGUCUUCGGAUUGUAAAGCACUUUAAGUUGGGAGGAAGGGCAGUAAGUUAAUACCUUGCUGUUUUGACGUUACCAACAGAAUAAGCACCGGCUAACUUCGUG